UACAGAGGGGGCUAGCGUUGUUCGGAAUUACUGGGCGUAAAGGGCGCGUAGGUGGCCUGUUAAGUCGAACGUGAAAUCCCCGGGCUCAACCCGGGAACUGCGUCCGAGACUGGCAGGCUUGAAUCCGGGAGAGGGAUGUGGAAUUCCAGGUGUAGCGGUGAAAUGCGUAGAUAUCUGGAGGAACACCAAUGGCGAAGGCAGCUCUCUGGGACGGUACUGACGCUGAGACGCGAAAGCGUGGGGAGCGAACAGG
RNAcentral lists this ribosomal RNA (253 nucleotides) under uncultured bacterium. RNAcentral's name for it is "partial 16S ribosomal RNA". It matches the Rfam family "Bacterial small subunit ribosomal RNA", at positions 524 to 776 of the family's 1533-position model. The record is from RNAcentral.